ACUGCUGGGACAAUUUCGUCAAAAAUAGAUCGAAGCUAGUCGCGGGGCUUCUGUCUGCUCGCGCCGGAUCUUGGCGGUGGGAUUUGGGUUCAGCCCGGUUGUUUCCAGGGGCCUCAAGGAAACAUUCGGUUCUUCCAGGGGCUGUCGCUGGUGGGAACUUGCUCAACCUCCGUCCCCGUAUGCUCCAAGCCACUGAGGUCUCGAACGAUCUAGCUUGGCUGCGGAUAGUAACGAAGACUGUGUGCUUGAAGGCAACCCGUCGCAAGCAAUGAUCUAUUACUGCUGUUCAGCGUCCUUCAGUCAGUGCCUACGAUACCUGGGGCUUUGGAUUUCUCUCGCGAGUCGUGACGCGGGAAGAAGUCAGAAAAGAAAAGGGAGCAUCCUACACGUGGCAGAGCCAGCUCAUGGAUACGUUUGUUCACCAAUGCCCGCCAUCAAGCCGGUCAGCAAAACACCGUGUUAAUUGGCGGAGAGCGAGAGCCACCGAGCAGUGUCUCAGCCUCGCUUCAACCACUGGAGGGAACAGAGGUGGAGGAGCAAACUCUGUCCUCUCGUCAACAAAACAUCCUUGCAUGAGGAGAUGUGGGCCGAUUGCUUGUCGCACAACAAUUGCUGUCGGAUGCAUUCGAGAUUAUUAUUUUCCACGGACAACAAGAAUUGAGUACCGAUGGGUUGACGCCUGACAGCAUCAGAACUCCAUGGAACUGGCACAUUAUCAGAGACUCAGAAUGUUCUCUCUCUUUUCCAAUGUCUACUGCAAACUUCGGCUAUUUCCAUCUUGACUCAGAUCUGGACGAGGGGGUUCCGGGCCUCUUUUGGUGAAGGAACACUCGCCAAAUUGCAUGAUGCUGGGGGAAGGUCGGUUUCUCGACCCAAUCCUGGAACGCCGCGAAGCUAUGACAAGCAACUAGACCUGUUCCUGAACGCCUCUCAGGCACACUUACACUAGUGUCAUAUUUCGGAGGGAUCCCCUGUCGACGCUUGUAUGUCCGAUAAGGUUUGGCAUCUUGAUCAUGGACGAUUGGUUUCCCAUCGUUCCUCAUGGUUCAGGAUGGUGUAUAAAAACGGCCAUUUCUCGCGGGUCAAAGAUGUGGUUGUUGCUCUGUCGAUGUUUCCCCUUCAGGUCCUUCUCUCCUGUUUCUUUCGUCACUCGUUUAUGAAGUGACACUGCCAAUCGUUUGAUGAUCUAUGAUCAUAUCCUAUAUACUUGAUAUUUUUAAUUUAAUUUAAUUUCCCUGACCAUCUUGGUCUCCACCAUCGGUCACAAUGAAGGUUGCGUUUGGCUCUGCGUUGCUGUCGGCUUUUGCCUUGCAGCGUGCUUCCGCUACUUUCAACUUCCCCGGGUUUCCCGGGUUUCCAGGUUUCCCCGGGUUUCCAGGCUUCCCAGGCUUCCCAGGCUUCCCGGGUUCCCCAGGUUCCCCAGACCCUAAUUAUCCCGUCGAGCCAACACCCACGGAUUAUCCUGUCGAGCCAACGCCUACAGAUUAUCCCGUUGAACCUACACCCACGGAUUAUCCCGUUGAACCUACACCCACGGAUUAUCCUGUCGAGCCAACGCCUACAGAUUAUCCCGUUGAACCUACACCCACGGAUUACCCCGUUGAACCUACACCCACGGAUUAUCCCGUUGAACCUACACCCACAGAUUAUCCUGUCGAGCCUACACCAACAGAUUAUCCUGUCGAGCCAACGCCUACAGAUUAUCCCGUUGAACCUACACCCACAGAUUAUCCCGUUGAACCUACACCCACGGAUUAUCCUGUAGAGCCUACACCAACAGAUUAUCCUGUCGAGCCAACGCCUACAGAUUAUCCCGUUGAACCUACACCCACGGAUUACCCCGUCGAGCCAACACCCACGGAUUAUCCUGUUGAACCUACACCCACGGAUUACCCCGUCGAGCCAACACCCACGGAUUACCCCGUUGAACCUACACCCACGGAUUACCCCGUCGAGCCAACACCCACGGAUUACCCCGUUGAACCUACACCCACGGAUUAUCCUGUUGAACCUACACCCACGGAUUACCCUGUGAGCCCUGAGCCAACACCCACGGAUUACCCCGUUGAGCCAACACCAACAGAUUACCCUGUGAGCCCUGAGCCCACUCCGACAGAUUAUCCCGUCAGCCCAGAACCUACUCCCACGGAUUACCCUGUCUCCCCUGCUCCUACAGAUGCUACGGAUUACCCGGUGACCCCCGAGCCUACUCCCACGGAUUACCCUGUCUCCCCUGCUCCUACAGAUGCUACGGAUUACCCGGUGACCCCCGAGCCUACACCCACAGAUUAUCCUGUCUCCCCUGCUCCUACCGAUUCUACGGAUUACCCUGUCUCCCCUGCUCCUACCGAUGCUACGGAUUAUCCUGUCUCCCCUGCUCCUACAGAUGCUACGGAUUACCCUGUGAGCCCCGCUCCUACCGAUGCUACGGAUUAUCCUGUCAGCCCAGCUCCUACCGAUGCUACGGAUUAUCCUGUGAGCCCAGCUCCUACCGAUGCUACGGAUUAUCCUGUGAGCCCAGCUCCUACCGAUGCUACGGAUUAUCCUGUGAGCCCUGCUCCUACCGAUGCUACGGAUUAUCCUGUGAGCCCUGCUCCUACCGAUGCUACGGAUUAUCCUGUCAGCCCCGCUCCUACCGAUGCUACGGAUUAUCCUGCCAGCCCUGCUCCUACCGAUGCCUACCCUGUGUCGACCAUCACCGCAGCACCGAGUUACACUACCUCUACCAUCUACACCACAAUCUGUGAGACGGUCACCAGUUGUCCUCCUUCCGUUGUAUCAUGCCCAGCUGGCGGAUAUCCCGUUGUCGUCACGAGGACCGUUGCUAUAGCAACAACGGUCUGUCCAGUAGAGGCAGAGGCAACAACCCCCCCACAAUCCACCUACACUACCUCCACCGUUUAUACAACAACCUAUGAGACGGUCACCAGCUGCCCUCCUUCUGUCCCGUCAUGUCCAGCUGGCGGGUAUUCCACUGUUAUCACGAAGACCAUCCCUAUCUCAACAACGGUCUACUUGGUGGAAACAGAACCGACAACUCCACCUUACCCGACCCUCCCUAAUCAAGGUUAUGAUACGGCUAUCCCAGCUACUCCAUAUACCUUGAGCACUGCCAUCUACCCAACUGCCACAGUUGGUUCUGAGUCGCCCACGUACUCUGGAGCUGCAGAGCCAUCGGCUAGAGGCUCGACAGCCUUUAUUGCAGCCUUCCUGCUGCUCUCAGGCCUAACGCAGCUCUAAAUAAUGAUGGCAAGCGGAGAAAUGAAUGGCCUGACCGUUACAUUUCAGUGAAUGUACUUAAAGCUACUGCACGUCGUAUUUUUGGAAUCUCUUUCUUUCCUUUAUUAAUUCUAUUUUCUUUCCUAAUUCCUGAAAUUACGUGCGAAUCGUCAUAAUAGGACACAUUCACUUUGGUUUUUGAGUGCAACAAGUUGGAGAAAUAUAGAAAUAUUUAUAUUGUAGAUACCUGCUUCGCGACGGCUAAGCGAACCCAUGCUUUUUAUUUUGUUAUAAUGUUAAAGAGCAAGUAUGGCGCUUUAGUUAGGCAGCUUAAUUUAAAAAUUGCCCAUAUACCGUCGCAAAACAGCCUUGACAGAUUUGACCUUGCGAAUAUACAGCGUACAUUUGGUCAGUUAUAACUGUCCACAUAUAUCAAGUGAGGUUUGAGAAAGUUUGGGGGAGGAGAAUUGAACUUGGGAAGCUAUUAUGUAUGUUCAUUAACUAUUUCUAAGGAUACUGUGAGGGAUAGAUUCACAUAGGAUGAAGAAAAGGAAGA
This 3775-nucleotide small RNA is filed under the name Histoplasma capsulatum. RNAcentral's name for it is "hypothetical RNA". RNAcentral also lists the same sequence under 1 other name. Lineage: Eukaryota; Fungi; Ascomycota; Eurotiomycetes; Onygenales; Ajellomycetaceae. The record is from RNAcentral.